RNAcentral lists this ribosomal RNA (316 nucleotides) under uncultured eukaryote. RNAcentral describes it as "partial 18S ribosomal RNA". It matches the Rfam family "Eukaryotic small subunit ribosomal RNA", at positions 1470 to 1796 of the family's 1831-position model. The record is from RNAcentral.
CCCCUAGAUGUUCUGGGCCGCACGCGCGCUACACUGAACAGUUCAACAAGUCUUAACCUUGGCCGAUAGGUCUGGGUAAUCUUUGAACGCUGUUCGUGAUGGGGAUAGACUUUUGCAAUUUUUGGUCUUCAACGAGGAAUUCCUAGUAAACGCAAGUCAUCAACUUGCAUUGAUUACGUCCCUGCCCUUUGUACACACCGCCCGUCGCACCUACCGAUUGAAUGGUCCGGUGAAGCCUCCGGAUUGGCGUGCACCCUCGGGUGCUGCCGAGAAGUUGGCUAAACCUUACCAUUUAGAGGAAGGUGAAGUCGUAACA